AGUACGGCGGAACACGAGAAAUUCCGUCGGAAUCCGCGGGGACCAUCCCGCAAGGCUAAAUACUCCCUAGUGACCGAUAGUGAACCAGUACCGUGAGGGAAAGGUGAAAAGCACCCCGGAAGGGGAGUGAAAUAGAUCCUGAAACCGUGUGCCUACAACAAGUCAAAGCUCGUUAAUGAGUGAUGGCGUGCCUUUUGUAGAAUGAACCGGCGAGUUACGAUUGCAUGCGAGGUUAAGUCGAAGAGACGGAGCCGCAGCGAAAGCGAGUCUGAAUAGGGCGAAUGAGUAUGUAGUCGUAGACCCGAAACCAUGUGAUCUACCCAUGUCCAGGUUGAAGGUGCGGUAAAACGCACUGGAGGACCGAACCCACGUACGUUGAAAAGUGCGGGGAUGAGGUGUGGGUAGCGGAGAAAUUCCAAACGAACUUGGAGAUAGCUGGUUCUCUCCGAAAUAGCUUUAGGGCUAGCCUCGGAAUUGAGAAUGAUGGAGGUAGAGCACUGUUUGGACUAGGGGCCCAUCUCGGGUUACCGAAUUCAGAUAAACUCCGAAUGCCAUUCAUUUAUAUCCGGGAGUCAGACUGCGAGUGAUAAGAUCCGUAGUCGAAAGGGAAACAGCCCAGACCACCAGCUAAGGUCCCAAAAUAUAUGUUAAGUGGAAAAGGAUGUGGGGUUGCACAGACAACUAGGAUGUUGGCUUAGAAGCAGCCACCAUUUAAAGAGUGCGUAAUAGCUCACUAGUCGAGUGACCCUGCGCCGAAAAUGUAC
Molecule: ribosomal RNA, 764 nt
Filed under: Enterococcus faecalis
Lineage: Bacteria; Bacillati; Bacillota; Bacilli; Lactobacillales; Enterococcaceae
Description: partial 23S ribosomal RNA
Rfam family: Bacterial large subunit ribosomal RNA
Source: RNAcentral